UCCUUGGUGAUGUCUCAGGGAGCUCUUAUGCUCUACCGAACAUAAGGCUUUCUUCCUGUAAACCUGAAUGUGACCUUCUAGAGUCUCUGGUUGUAGCUUCUUUAGUCUCCUGAUUCGAAUGGUGUGCUGCUUUCUUGCCUACAAGCAACAACAGAAACUUUAUUAAACCCAGUACAGACAGAAUUCAUCUUGGAGUUCAGCGAUAUGUUCAAGGAAUCACUGAACUUUAAUGGUAGACAGCUACCAUAAUCUCUUUGCUUGCUACUUCACUAGUGAAUAACAACUGCAGACUCCACAGCUUCUGGUGAAGGCAUUUGGCAAAUUCUUUUCACAAACAACACCAUCAGGAUUGUUUCAUCCAAUUUUACGCAGCAGUUGUCUCAAAACCUGGGACCUAAAUGUUCAUAAAACAAGGGAACACGAGAUGGACCAAGAGAGACUCUCCUGAGACCAAUGGUACAAAAAUUCAGGCAAGCAAUUCAGGAAAGUGGCCCUUUCAUAAGCUGACAAAAAUGAACCUCUUGAAUACAAAAUUCCAAGUAUCAGAAGUAAAAAAUAACAAAACCAGGGAGUUAAGCAAAAGCUAUGUGACUUACUCUCUGAAUGUAGAAUCACUGUACUUAGCAGAAGAUAAAGGGUGAAUUGCUAUCCAAUCUGCGGUUCACUGUCCCCAAGUACCGUUAGAAGUUAGGGACAAUGCUAAAGAAAAAAGGACAGGCAUCACCAAAGACCCAUCAAGCCAAGCCAGUGGUUCCCUCCAUGAGGGUGUGGUCUCUCCAUGAUGUCAGAAAAGACUAAAACCAUAACUGGGAUUUGCCACACUGGGAUCCUAUGGUUUUUCUGAUGUGAUCAAUCAUCUUUUAUUCUUACUGGGGCUAAUGGACUAAUGGAUCAUCAAGGAGUGGCUUUGUUAUACAAGCAUGUUCUCUUGGCAAGUUUACUCUCUCUUACCAUGUGAUGCCCUGCACAAUCUGCUCUGGACAGCAAGAAGGUCUU
Molecule: non-coding RNA, 996 nt
Organism: Ictidomys tridecemlineatus (thirteen-lined ground squirrel)
Lineage: Eukaryota; Metazoa; Chordata; Mammalia; Rodentia; Sciuridae
Source: RefSeq, a predicted model, not a curated record